RNAcentral lists this ribosomal RNA (404 nucleotides) under Fusobacteriota bacterium. Its description in RNAcentral is "Fusobacteria bacterium partial 16S ribosomal RNA". It matches the Rfam family "Bacterial small subunit ribosomal RNA", at positions 355 to 776 of the family's 1533-position model. Lineage: Bacteria; Fusobacteriati; Fusobacteriota. The record is from RNAcentral.
GGGGGAAUAUUGCACAAUGGAGGGAACUCUGAUGCAGCGACGCCGCGUGAGUGUUGAAGGAAUUCGUUUCGUAAAACUCUGUUCUAUGGGCAGAAAAGGACUGUACCAUAGGAGAAAGCUCCGGCUAAAUACGUGCCAGCAGCCGCGGUAAUACGUAUGGAGCGAGCGUUGUCCGGAAUUAUUGGGCGUAAAGGGUGCGCAGGCGGCAUUACAAGUUGGAUGUGAAAUAUUGUGGCUCAACCACAAACGUGCAUCCAAAACUGCAAAGCUUGAGUUAAGGAGAGGUAAGUGGAAUUCCUGGUGUAGCGGUGGAAUGCGUAAAUAUCAGGAGGAAUACCGGUGGCGAAGGCGACUUACUGGACUUAAACUGACGCUCAGGCACGAAAGCGUGGGGAGCAAACAGG